GAUGAACGCUGGCGGCGUGCUUAACACAUGCAAGUCGAACGAGGUCCAACCUUUCGGGUGAAGACCGAGUGGCGAACGGGUGAGUAACACGUGGGGGAACCUACCCUUCUCUCUGGGAUAACGUCGAGAAAUCGGCGCUAAUACCGGAUACUCCUUGCGGAUCGCAUGGUCUGCUUUGGGAAAGCUCCGGCGGAGAGGGACGGCCCCGCGGCCCAUUAGCUAGUUGGUGAGGUAACGGCCCACCAAGGCGACGAUGGGUAGCCGAGCUGAGAGGCUGAUCGGCCACACUGGGACUGAGACACGGCCCAGACUCCUACGGGAGGCAGCAGUGGGGAAUCUUGCGCAAUGGGCGAAAGCCUGACGCAGCAACGCCGCGUGCGGGAUGAAGGCCCUCGGGUCGUAAACCGCUUUCAGCAGGGAUGAAACUGACAGUACCUGCAGAAGAAGCCCCGGCUAAAUACGUGCCAGCAGCCGCGGUAAUACGUAUGGGGCAAGCGUUAUCCGGAUUUAUUGGGCGUAAAGCGCGCGUAGGCGGCUUGUUAAGUCAGAUGUGAAAUCCGGGGGCUCAACCCGCGGCUUGCAUCUGAAACUGGCAGGCUUGAGUCUGGUAGAGGAAAGUGGAAUUCCUGGUGUAGCGGUGAAAUGCGCAGAUAUCAGGAGGAACACCAGUGGCGAAGGCGGCUUUCUGGGCCACGACUGACGCUGAGGCGCGAAAGCUAGGGGAGCGAACAGGAUUAGAUACCCUGGUAGUCCUAGCCGUAAACGAUGGGCACUAGGUGUGGGGGGUCAUCGACUCCCUCCGUGCCGAAGCUAACGCAUUAAGUGCCCCGCCUGGGGAGUACGGCCGCAAGGCUAAAACUCAA
This 863-nucleotide ribosomal RNA is filed under the name actinobacterium enrichment culture. RNAcentral's name for it is "bacterial SSU rRNA". It matches the Rfam family "Bacterial small subunit ribosomal RNA", at positions 28 to 904 of the family's 1533-position model. The record is from RNAcentral. Lineage: Bacteria; Bacillati; Actinomycetota; Actinomycetes.